UACGUAGGGUGCGAGCGUUGUCCGGAAUUAUUGGGCGUAAAGAGCUUGUAGGUGGUUUGUCGCGUCUGCUGUGAAAAUCCGAGGCUCAACCUCGGACUUGCAGUGGGUACGGGCAGACUAGAGUGUGGUAGGGGAGACUGGAAUUCCUGGUGUAGCGGUGGAAUGCGCAGAUAUCAGGAGGAACACCGGUGGCGAAGGCAGGUCUCUGGGCCAUUACUGACACUGAGAAGCGAAAGCAUGGGGGAGCGAACAGG
RNAcentral lists this ribosomal RNA (254 nucleotides) under uncultured bacterium. Its description in RNAcentral is "partial 16S ribosomal RNA". It matches the Rfam family "Bacterial small subunit ribosomal RNA", at positions 524 to 776 of the family's 1533-position model. The record is from RNAcentral.